This 253-nucleotide ribosomal RNA is filed under the name uncultured bacterium. RNAcentral's name for it is "partial 16S ribosomal RNA". It matches the Rfam family "Bacterial small subunit ribosomal RNA", at positions 524 to 776 of the family's 1533-position model. The record is from RNAcentral.
UACAGAGGGUGCGAGCGUUGUCCGGAAUCACUGGGCGUAAAGGGCGCGUAGGUGGCGCGACAAGUCAAUGGUGAAAGCUCGACGCUCAACGUCGAGUCGGCCACUGAUACUGUCGGGCUCGAGCACUGUAGAGGCAGAUGGAAUUCCGGGUGUAGCGGUGGAAUGCGUAGAGAUCCGGAAGAACACCGGUGGCGAAGGCGGUCUGCUGGGCAGUAGCUGACACUGAGGCGCGACAGCGUGGGGAGCAAACAGG